RNAcentral lists this ribosomal RNA (305 nucleotides) under uncultured bacterium. RNAcentral describes it as "bacterial SSU rRNA". It matches the Rfam family "Bacterial small subunit ribosomal RNA", at positions 334 to 637 of the family's 1533-position model. The record is from RNAcentral.
AUUUCCUACGGGAGGCCGCAGUGAGGAAUAUUGGUCAAUGGGAGCGAUCCUGCCCCCGCCCCGCCUCUUUCUGGAAGACGGCCCUAUGGGUUGUAAACCUCUUUUGUCGGAGAACAAAACCCGGGACGUGUCCCGGACUGCGUGUAUCCGAAGAAAAAGCAUCGGCUAACACCGUGCCAGCAGCCGCGGUAAUACGGAGGAUGCGAGCGUUAUCCGGAUUUAUUGGGUUUAAAGGGUGCGUAGGCGGUCCGUUAGGUCAGCGGUAACAUUGCGGGGCUAAACCCCGUCGAGCCGUUGAAACUGGG